AAAGAUUUGUAUGCUCUUCCUAGUCUGACCAAAUUCUUGGGGUAAUUUUUUUCUGUGUGUUUUGUACCCAUAUUUCCUUCCUCUUUCCCUAGAUCUGGCCAUGGAGAGCUGUUGGUGGCUGAAGAUUUGGACAUCUGGUCCCAGUGGCAUCCCUUCCUCCUGCAGGCGUGCUGCUUUAGCAAAACUCUGCUUCUCCUCUGUCACUGGUGAGACUUAGCCAGGGCAUGAAUUUCAAAACAACCACAGAGCUGCAGGUUGUAUGAAUGUCCAAGGUGCUCAAUGCCAUGUUUGCACAGCACUGAAUUCUCACCCAGGAGCUGGGCAGCUCUGGGCAAGCUGGCUGGCUGAGAAGAGAGUGGAAGCGAGGUUCAGACCGUUCCAAGCAUCAUGGCUGCUUCAGAGAGGUUUUGGUGUCUACUGCCUUCAGGGAAAAGCGUGGCAGACGAGUCAUGUUUAACAGCAAAAGCUAGCUGGAGAAUCCCAGUGCCUUCUCUGGAGGGGAAUAGUGAAAAGGACGUUCAAUGCAAAAAGAAGCAAAUUGGAAAACCUGCAUUUUCCCUCCUUUUUCAGGUGACUUUAAGUGUGACACGUUUCUGUGAUACUAACCUGUUGUUUCAGGCUACUGUCCAUGCUUGUGGGUCUGGAGGGGACCAAAACGUGAUGCUUCAGAGAAAAUUUUG
Molecule: long non-coding RNA, 680 nt
Organism: Cygnus olor (mute swan)
Lineage: Eukaryota; Metazoa; Chordata; Aves; Anseriformes; Anatidae
Exons: 3
Source: RefSeq, a predicted model, not a curated record